ACUUUAACUUUAAGGUGAUAUUUUGAACACACUUCCUGUACAUCGUUGACCUUUUUACAGAGUGGUUCCGUCGGUCGACAUCCACUAAUGGCGGAGUCGCAAUUAAAGCAGGUGUUGCACGUGUGGAGCUGCUUACCUAAAGCACUGAGUUGUUAUUAUCGCCUUCUCCGCUUGUAUGUGGACUAUGGACGCCCACCAGCCGAUGUUUGGACUCUGAGGCAAUUCCAAAGUGUUUGGAGGACAAAAACCAGCCUCUACAAGUUGUAGUGAAACGCUUGGCUGGCAUGGUGAUGCGGGUUCGUUCUUUCGUGGAUGCAGUCGGGCUUGGACACAGCGUGGAGAAAGCCUGAAAGAGAGGCUGAUCCUUCCGCACGCUGGACUACCGUGUUUGACCAGGACCACACCUGCCAGGUGGACUGUGAGCAAGGAUCACAAAGGAUGGCGAUAAAGCAGCUGCAGCCAGAUUCCUUAUUGGACCAAAUUUUAGAUGCCGGCGGGCCGGACAUGGCCCGUAUGCUGUAGUUUGGACAACCCUGCUUUAAGCGCCCUGACAGUUCCAGGGCAGGGAGCAUGUGAGCUAUGUGCAAGCAGCAGCAGCAGCAGCAGCUAUGGAUGACAUUUUCAGAUGGCCGGAUCAAGAAUUCCGAGGGUGGAAAAGACAUUUGACACGUGGAACACUUGCUACUCACCAGCAAAAAAAAAAACAUUUUGUCAAAAUUCAUCCAAAAGCCUGAUGUUUGUUUAUAAAAGUCAUAUAUUUAUCUUACAUGACUUGAUUUUUUUGUGCUGGUGCGGGAUGUUUGUUGGACUCGACAUGGUCCCGUGAAACUUAAUUAACACAGCACAAUUAUGGCGCAAUAAUUGAUUUUCACUAGAUUUAUUUUCAUUCUAAAACCAGUCUGUUGCCUGCGGGGUUUUUUGUGCCAAAAUUAGAUAAAGCAAAAGGAAU
This is a long non-coding RNA of Nerophis ophidion (straightnose pipefish), 949 nucleotides long. RefSeq lists it as uncharacterized. The record is from RefSeq and is a predicted model, not a curated record. Lineage: Eukaryota; Metazoa; Chordata; Actinopteri; Syngnathiformes; Syngnathidae. The transcript has 5 exons.